Molecule: long non-coding RNA, 2903 nt
Organism: Aethalodelphis obliquidens (Pacific white-sided dolphin)
Lineage: Eukaryota; Metazoa; Chordata; Mammalia; Artiodactyla; Delphinidae
Exons: 4
Source: RefSeq, a predicted model, not a curated record
UGCCCCGCCCCGCCCCGCCCAGGUCCGGUGGCCGCAGCCCCUCCCGCCUCUGGCUCGGCCCUUCCCACCGAGUCGGCCGGCCUUGACUUCCCGCCAUCCUCCCCGUUUCCUCCCAGCAGUCCUGGGGUCUUUCCAGUCAGUCAUCUUCGGCUGCUUUCGUCCCGGAGUAAGUGGAGGCCUCGCCCUUCCGGUUGUCCCCUGGUUUCCGUCCUUCUCGAGCCCUCUGCUUUGGGAGACCCCUUCCCCGGUGGUCGGGGCCGAGGUCCCUUAACCCCAGGCCGGCUGCCGCAGAAUGAGGGCUCUUCUUGCUUUGGCCUCGAUUUAAACAGAAGCUGCCUGGCCUUAUGUAUCCCUGGGGCGGCUCCUUGCAAACCUUCCCUCGUGAAGCACACUAUUACUCGGCACAGCAUGCGGAGCAGGAGGAAUUAGAAGCUCGCCGUCCAGUGGCAGCACGGAGUCUUAACCCCUGGACCACCAGAGAAGUCCAGAAUCCUGUUUUCAUAAUCUGUCAAAACGGAGCGAAAUACCCACCUUUCAGGAUCGUUGUGGGACCCUGUGGAAAACACCCCCGUCUAGUGAACACCCAAGACUGCCACAGUCCCUCAAAGGAACUGGAUGUUGUGCGUGCAUAUACUCCCCAUACGGUAGAUGAAGACCAGGUGAUCACAGAGAUGAAGCAUGAAGCCCAGGCAGGCGAAGACUCGGGAACCCGGUGUGCCGGCUCAGCUGAGGACAGCAGUGAAGCCUCUGCUCUGAGGAUCCCAUCCUGGAUCCCAUGUUACCUUUAGUCAUCCUGUCUCCUUGGGCUUCUCUUGGCUGUGACAGUGUUUCAGACUUGCCUUGUUUUUGAUGGCCUUGACAAUUGGGAGGGAUUUUGCAGAAUGUUCCUUAAUUGGGAUUUGUCUGAUGUUUUUCUCAUGAUUGGGCUGGGGUUAUGGGUUUUGGGGAGGAAGAUCACAGAGGUGAAGUCCCAUGUUCAUUACAUGUCAAGGGUAUGUUCUGUCACUAUGACCUAUGAUGUUGGUGUUGACCUUGAUCACCUGGCCGAGGCGGUGUUUGUAGCUGUGAAGUUCCUCUUCCUUUCAGUACUUACAGUACUUGAGUUAUGCUUUGGGCACUAGGAGGAGAAGCAGCUGGUGACUCUCCGGGGACUAGGGAGAGGGAGAGAGGGCAGAGCAGGGUGAUGGCAGGUCUCGUGGAACAGAAAGGGAAUUUGCACCUAGCCAGGAGGAGAAGCGGAUGGCCUUCCAGGCAGGCUUGACGCAAGAGAAGAGAGACUAGGUCCAGGGUGCGGGCGAGAGCAGCCGCUCAGCCGGGCUCAGCUGUAGGAGGGCGUCAAGGAAUUCCCUGGAGAGCCGGGCGAGAGGCGCUUCAGCCCUGGACUCCUGUCUCAUUUUCGUGGACUUCAUCUCCCAACAAAGUGAGCUGCAAUCAUCACAGAGACACGCCCACGGAACUGAAAGAAGUCGCUGCUGUUCGUCUGUAAACUCCCCCCUAUCUCCCCACUAGACCGCUUUGCCUGAGAGUUCAGGAUACGUGAACGUUUGUUAUAAAUCCUGAAAUUAUUCUGCGGAUCAGCGCCGUUAGAUUGCACUAUCCUUGGGGGUCGAAAGUGUAAACUUUGCAAGUAAAUGUUUAAAAUAGACCACAAGUUCCAUAACCCUGCUUGGGGAAUUUCUUCAUUUUAUAAAAUAUAUGUACCAGUAAUCUCAAAAGAUGGAAGUGGCCUGGGCCUUCUUAUGUGACCUCAGAGAGACCCUGCAUCCUUCAACUUCAGGAGACUGGUGAGGAAAGGGGACUGGGGGGCCAGCUGGACCACGGCAGAGCUGGACUCAGUGGUCAAAUCCUGUGUUUACGUUUGUCUGUCUGCCCAGAGUGUGAGCUAAACGGGUGACACAGAAUCUGGAUAGUGGAUCUGAGGGACUUUGGUCACAAUUCUUUUUCUUUUUGGCUCCGCCAUGUGACUUGUAGGAUCUUAGUUCCGCGACCAGGGAUUGAACCUGCGCCACGGAAUCGACAGCGCGGAGCCCUAACAAUUGGGCUGCCAGGGAAUUCCCGAGAUGCUUUGGUUUGAAGUGGCAUCUGUGGUUUUCAGUGCAGCUCCUAGCGUCUGUCACUGUGCCUGGCGUUACACAGUCAGAGAGAAAUACCUGUGGAGGUCUGGGGGUCUAGGAGGUGUGCGUUCAAUGCAGAUACCCCUAGGAUAGGAAAUGACUUUAGUUGUUGGCAACUAACACAGCAGUGGAGGGCAAUCAGCUUCUUGAGAAGAGCACGGUCCUGUGAGAGUGGGACCCAGGACAGAAGUGUGGAGAAGUGCGGAGGGCAGGGCUUCGAGAGCAGGGGUAGGGGAGGCACGGCGGGGCGUGGUGGUGGAAGGGAGGCGCCAAGCGCCUUCACAGGCCUGUGGGAAGCGGCCCUGGUGACAUCCUGUUUAUAGCCGAGUGACCUCAGAUGAGUCACCCCCGGGAUUCAGUUUCCCCACUUCUGUGUGACAUGGGGAAGGUCAGCUGGUCGGGAGGGGACUCUUUUCCUCAUCUUCCCGUCACACACUUGGCGCCGCCACCGCGGCCGCCAUCGGCUAGCGGAAUGCACCGCGCGCAGGAGCGCAGGGGACUCUGGGCUGAGGGCUUGGGAUCCAUUACACCUGACCUCACUCUCACAACCCUGGGACACGGGUGCUGUUCCCGCCUUGGCUUUACCGAUGGGGAAACUGAGCCUUCCAGAAAUUGAAUAACACACCCAAUGUCACGCGCCAGGGAUGCGUGGGUGAAGGGUCGCCACAGCUGGGUCAAUCCUGGUCAGGGGUGCGCACACUUUUCUACAAAAAGUAACUAUUUUAGGCUUUGUGGGUGACAUCGAGUCUUCUGUCCUCCUCCUCCCUCUCUCUCUUUCUUCAUCCGUUU